UGAAGAUUAAAUCUUCUUAGGAC
This 23-nucleotide non-coding RNA is filed under the name Cricetulus griseus (Chinese hamster). Lineage: Eukaryota; Metazoa; Chordata; Mammalia; Rodentia; Cricetidae. The record is from RNAcentral.